GCUUGCCUGCCCUGUUUGUGAGAGGCGAAAGAGUUGAUCCGGCAAAUUGGAUCUUUUGGGAGUCUACGUAUGGAGCACGGUGUGCAUGCUGAGCAUGUUGCUCAGAAGCCUUAUGUCUCCUUCAGGACACCCACCUAUUUUAUAGGCGGAUCUAAUUUUUCUCUUCCACGGCAGGGCGGGUUUAUC
RNAcentral lists this non-coding RNA (186 nucleotides) under Nitrospiraceae bacterium. Its description in RNAcentral is "6S RNA". It matches the Rfam family "6S / SsrS RNA". From Rfam's summary of the family: E. coli 6S RNA was the first non coding RNA to be sequenced, but its function was unknown until recently. It consists of 184 nucleotides that fold into an extended hairpin structure with a large single-stranded internal bulge. The 6S RNA specifically associates with RNA polymerase holoenzyme containing the sigma70 specificity factor. Lineage: Bacteria; Pseudomonadati; Nitrospirota; Nitrospiria; Nitrospirales; Nitrospiraceae. The record is from RNAcentral.